GGGAAAAAAACUGCUCAAAGGUUUGGAUGAGCCUGAGAACAGUUUGGAUUCAGAUGGAGAAGGUGUUCGCCCCGUAGGAUCCCCCGCCACCUCUCAACAGGACCCCGAGCCAUCCCUACUGUCCAGAAGAUCUUAGCACCAAGAAGCAGUCAAGAGACAACUCAGAUGCUGGGGAGACAGAGGAGGAUACAAUGGACCUGGAACUGGCUCUGGAGAGGAAAAAGGCUGAGCUACGGGCUCUGGAGGAGGGUGAUGGGAGCGCAGGAGGCUCCAGUCCUUGUUUCUGAGACGAGCCAAGAAGCCUCUGGGGCCCGUGCUC
Larimichthys crocea (large yellow croaker) is the source of this 319-nucleotide long non-coding RNA. RefSeq lists it as uncharacterized. The record is from RefSeq and is a predicted model, not a curated record. NCBI's taxonomy places the organism in Eukaryota, Metazoa, Chordata, Actinopteri, Sciaenidae. The transcript is spliced from 2 exons.